GGCGUGUUCGUCUAGCGGCCCAGGACGCCGCCCUCUCAAGGCGGAGAUCACGGGUUCGAAUCCCGUACACGCUACGA
Molecule: transfer RNA, 77 nt
Filed under: [Candidatus Thermochlorobacteriaceae] bacterium GBChlB
Lineage: Bacteria; Pseudomonadati; Chlorobiota; Chlorobiia; Chlorobiales; Chloroherpetonaceae
Description: Candidatus Thermochlorobacteriaceae bacterium GBChlB tRNA-Glu
Rfam family: tRNA
About the family: Transfer RNA (tRNA) molecules are approximately 80 nucleotides in length. Their secondary structure includes four short double-helical elements and three loops (D, anti-codon, and T loops).
Source: RNAcentral